GAUGAACGCUGGCGGCGUGCCUAAUACAUGCAAGUAGAACGCUGAAGGAGGAGCUUGCUCUUCUGGAUGAGUUGCGAACGGGUGAGUAACGCGUAGGUAACCUGCCUGGUAGCGGGGGAUAACUAUUGGAAACGAUAGCUAAUACCGCAUGACAACAGUUAUUGCAUGAUAACUGUUUAAAAGGGGCAACUGCUCCACUACCAGAUGGACCUGCGUUGUAUUAGCUAGUUGGUGAGGUAACGGCUCACCAAGGCGACGAUACAUAGCCGACCUGAGAGGGUGAUCGGCCACCCUGGGACUGAGACACGGCCCAGACUCCUACGGGAGGCAGCAGUAGGGAAUCUUCGGCAAUGGACGGAAGUCUGACCGAGCAACGCCGGGUGAGUGAAGAAGGUUUUCGGAUCGUAAAGCUCUGUUGUAAGAGAAGAACAAGUGGGGGAGUGGAAAGUUCACACUGGGACGGUAUUUUACCAGAAAGGGACGGAUAACUACGG
Molecule: ribosomal RNA, 494 nt
Filed under: uncultured bacterium
Lineage: Bacteria
Description: partial 16S ribosomal RNA
Rfam family: Bacterial small subunit ribosomal RNA
Source: RNAcentral